RNAcentral lists this ribosomal RNA (292 nucleotides) under uncultured bacterium. RNAcentral's name for it is "partial 16S ribosomal RNA". It matches the Rfam family "Bacterial small subunit ribosomal RNA", at positions 505 to 796 of the family's 1533-position model. The record is from RNAcentral.
GUGUCAGCAGCCGCGGUAAUACAGAGAGUGCGAACGUUGUUCGGAAUUACUGGGCUUAAAGCGCACGUAGGCGGUGUCGUAAGUGUCAGGUGAAAUCCCACGGCUCACCCGUGGAACUGCCUGGCAGACUGCGACACUCGAGUGUGGUAGGGGAGAGCGGAACUCCUGGUGGAGCGGUGAAAUGCGUAGAUAUCAGGAGGAACACCGGUGGCGAAGGCGGCUCUCUGGUCCACAACUGACGCUGAGGUGCGAAAGCUAGGGGAGCAAACGGGAUUAGAUACCCCCGUAGUCC